GGAGUUAGGACCGUGUCUCAGUUCCUAUGUGGGGGACCUUCCUCUCAGAACCCCUAACGAUCGAUGGCUCGGUGGGCCGUUACCCCGCCGACUACCUAAUCGUACGCAUCCCCAUCGGUGUACCGAUAAAUCUUUAAUUACAGAGAGAUGUCUCUCCGCAACCACAUCCGGUAUUAAUCCUCCUUUCAGAGGGCUAUCCCGGAGUACACGGCAGGUUGGAUACGCGUUACGCACCCGUGCGCCGGUCGCCAUCAAGAGUAGCAAGCUACUCUCAUGCUGCCCCUCGACUUGCAUGUGUUAAGCCUGUAGCUAGCGUUCAUC
Molecule: ribosomal RNA, 321 nt
Filed under: uncultured Bacteroidales bacterium
Lineage: Bacteria; Pseudomonadati; Bacteroidota; Bacteroidia; Bacteroidales
Description: partial 16S ribosomal RNA
Source: RNAcentral